GACGAACGCUGGCGGCGUGCCUAAUACAUGCAAGUCGAACGAACUCUGGUAUUGAUUGGUGCUUGCAUCAUGAUUUACAUUUGAGUGAGUGGCGAACUGGUGAGUAACACGUGGGAAACCUGCCCAGAAGCGGGGGAUAACACCUGGAAACAGAUGCUAAUACCGCAUAACAACUUGGACCGCAUGGUCCGAGCUUGAAAGAUGGCUUCGGCUAUCACUUUUGGAUGGUCCCGCGGCGUAUUAGCUAGAUGGUGGGGUAACGGCUCACCAUGGCAAUGAUACGUAGCCGACCUGAGAGGGUAAUCGGCCACAUUGGGACUGAGACACGGCCCAAACUCCUACGGGAGGCAGCAGUAGGGAAUCUUCCACAAUGGACGAAAGUCUGAUGGAGCAACGCCGCGUGAGUGAAGGAGGGUUUCGGCUCGUAAAACUCUGUUGUUAAAGAAGAACAUAUCUGAGAGUAACUGUUCAGGUAUUGACGGUAUUUAACCAGAAAGCCACGGCUAACUACGUGCCAGCAGCCGCGGUAAUACGUAGGUGGCAAGCGUUGUCCGGAUUUAUUGGGCGUAAAGCGAGCGCAGGCGGUUUUUUAAGUCUGAUGUGAAAGCCUUCGGCUCAACCGAAGAAGUGCAUCGGAAACUGGGAAACUUGAGUGCAGAAGAGGACAGUGGAACUCCAUGUGUAGCGGUGAAAUGCGUAGAUAUAUGGAAGAACACCAGUGGCGAAGGCGGCUGUCUGGUCUGUAACUGACGCUGAGGCUCGAAAGUAUGGGUAGCAAACAGGAUUAGAUACCCUGGUAGUCCAUACCGUAAACGAUGAAUGCUAAGUGUAGGAGGGUUUCCGCCCUUCAGUGCUGCAGCUAACGCAUUAAGCAUUCCGCCUGGGGAGUACGGCCGCAAGGCUGAAACUCAAAGGAAUUGACGGGGGCCCGCACAAGCGGUGGAGCAUGUGGUUUAAUUCGAAGCUACGCGAAGAACCUUACCAGGUCUUGACAUACUAUGCAAAUCUAAGAGAUUAGACGUUCCCUUCGGGGACAUGGAUACAGGUGGUGCAUGGUUGUCGUCAGCUCGUGUCGUGAGAUGUUGGGUUAAGUCCCGCAACGAGCGCAACCCUUAUUAUCAGUUGCCAGCAUUAAGUUGGGCACUCUGGUGAGACUGCCGGUGACAAACCGGAGGAAGGUGGGGAUGACGUCAAAUCAUCAUGCCCCUUAUGACCUGGGCUACACACGUGCUACAAUGGAUGGUACAACGAGUUGCGAACUCGCGAGAGUAAGCUAAUCUCUUAAAGCCAUUCUCAGUUCGGAUUGUAGGCUGCAACUCGCCUACAUGAAGUCGGAAUCGCUAGUAAUCGCGGAUCAGCAUGCCGCGGUGAAUACGUUCCCGGGCCUUGUACACACCGCCCGUCACACCAUGAGAGUUUGUAACACCCAAAGUCGGUGGGGUAACCUUUUAGGAACCAGCCGCCUAAGGUGGGACAGAUGAUUAGGGUG
RNAcentral lists this ribosomal RNA (1489 nucleotides) under Lactiplantibacillus plantarum. RNAcentral describes it as "bacterial SSU rRNA". It matches the Rfam family "Bacterial small subunit ribosomal RNA". Lineage: Bacteria; Bacillati; Bacillota; Bacilli; Lactobacillales; Lactobacillaceae. The record is from RNAcentral.